AACGAACGCUGGCGGCAUGCCUAACACAUGCAAGUCGAAUGAGACCUUCGGGUCUAGUGGCGCACGGGUGCGUAACGCGUGGGAACCUGCCCUUAGGUUCGGAAUAACUCCCCGAAAGGGGUGCUAAUACCGGAUAAUGUCUUCGGACCAAAGAUUUAUCGCCUUUGGAUGGGCCCGCGUUGGAUUAGCUAGUUGGUAGGGUAAAAGCCUACCAAGGCGACGAUCCAUAGCUGGUCUGAGAGGAUGAUCAGCCACACUGGGACUGAGACACGGCCCAGACUCCUACGGGAGGCAGCAGUGGGGAAUAUUGGACAAUGGGCGAAAGCCUGAUCCGGCAAUGCCGCGUGAGUGAUGAAGGCCUUAGGGUUGUAAAGCUCUUUUACCCGGGAUGAUAAUGACAGUACCGGGAGAAUAAGCUCCGGCUAACUCCGUG
This 433-nucleotide ribosomal RNA is filed under the name uncultured bacterium. RNAcentral's name for it is "partial 16S ribosomal RNA". It matches the Rfam family "Bacterial small subunit ribosomal RNA", at positions 29 to 507 of the family's 1533-position model. The record is from RNAcentral.